CCAGAGUCCUGAAAGAGGUGGCUGAGGUGGUCACCAAUCCACUCUCAAUGAUAUUUGAAUAUCAUGAUAGUCAGGGUAAGUCCCUGGUGACUGGAAAAAAGACAAUGUCACACCCAUUUUUAAGAAGAGUAGAAAGGAUGAUAUAGCGAACUAUAGACUUGUCAGCCUCACCUUUGUACUAGGGAAGAUUAUGUAGUAGAUCCUCCUGGAAGCUAUGCUAAGGCACAUGAAAGAAAGGGAGGUGAUACGGGAUAACCAUAUUGGCUUCACCAACAACAGAUCCUCCCUGACCAACCUUUUCAUUUUUUAUGAUGGUGUAACUUCAUGAGUGAACAAGGGAAAAGCCACUGAUGUCAUCUAUCAGUAAGGCCUUUGAUAUGAUUCCCCACAUCCUUCCCUCCAAUUUGGAAAUAUAUGGAUUUGAAGUGUGGACUGUUUGAUGGAUGAGGAACUGGUGGCAGGAUUGUACCCAGAGACUGAUGGUCAGUGGCUCAGUGUCCAGAUGGAGAUCAAUGAUAUGUUGUGUCCCUCAGACAUCAGUACUGGGACUGAUGUUCUUUAAUACUUUCAUCAGUGACAUUGACAGUGGACAGUCUCAGCAAGUUCGUAGGUGACACCGAGCUGUGUGCUGUGGUUGACCCACCCAAGGAAUGGGAUGCAAUUCAGAGAGGCCUAGGCAGGCUUCAGGAGUGGACCCAGGAGAACCUCCUGAGAUUCAAUAAAGCCUGUCCUUGGAUACAUUCAAAGUGCGGCUGGACAGGGCUCUGAGCAAGCUGAUAUAGGUGGUCCUGUUCACCGAAGAGAAGUUUGAGUACGUAACCUUUAAGGGUCUCUUCCAACUCAAACAAUUCUAUGAUUCUACAUUCUUUUAUCAUGUUUGGGAAAAAAAGUGUUUAAUGCCCUAGUUUUGAUGACUGUGGAACAGCAGGAGGAUUAAUGUGUCUUCCAUAGCCUUCCCAAUAUAGCUGUGUCUAGUCCCCAAACUGUGGCAGUGGCACAGAGCUACUUUUGUGUCACCACCAUCUCAUCAUCUCAGGUUAUUUUUCAGACCAUCUCAUGCCCUGCUCUAUCAGAUUUGUUAAGGAAAAAAAAAAAAAAAAAAAAGGCUUUAGCCCAAGAAAUGGGGGCUUAUCAUUAUAGCAGUGUUUGUGUGGAAGAUAAUGACAUUGUCUUGGCUCCAGUGCAUAGUUUCAGGGAAAUACAUUCAAAUCAGAAUUCAGCUGAUUUAGGAUCAGAGAGAAGUCAUUUAACUUGCUUCCACCUGAUGAAGAUUAAGGAAAAUGCAGAGCUGCACGUCUUGUGAAUCUCUUGAUGCUGACUCUUUUGAUUUGUCAGUAGUCCUCUCUGUAGCAGCAGAGCUGGCUGAGCUCAGUAGUCACACAGCAAAAGUUUUUCCUUGCAACCACAGAGAUCUGAUGCUUUCCUGAUCUAUGUAAAUCACUCUCUUACAGCAAAGUGCUCCACAGAUGCCUGAAAUAAAAACAGCAGCACAGUGUUUUUAUGAGUUAAUAGGUGAGUGGAUAAUAAGUACCAGAAGGAUUAUGGUGGAACACUAACCUUAAGUCAUUUUCUUGUGACCUCACGAAGGGGCAUUAUGUAUGUUUUUCUCCAUGUUUUUCUCCACCUAUGGCAAAUUGGAACAAACAUUUUCUGAGGCAUCAAGCCUUAUCUGCCCUUUCGUACUUCUGUCUUUAUUUGGCAGCUGGGGAUCUGAGAGUGAACUGAUGGUGCACUUUGUCCUGAAUGCUGCUAUUACUUCCAUCUUCAUUAUCUAAAUGCAGAGCAUCACAAGGAACAGUGGGUCACAGUGCCCACAGGUUUGAUAGAGCAACCUAAGUUAUCUACCUUCAAAUGCCUGCCUUGCAGAGAAGUGAAAUACUACUAAAUGGAAUGGCCAUUAUUUUUAUUUGAAUUGUCUGAAACAUUUUAUGAUUUUGCUGUUGUUGUUAAACUUAGGAUUCCAAAUCUUCAGAAGACUGAAGGGACAACAACUAGGAAGAACUGGGCAUCACUACUGGUUUGGAUAAGAUAAACAAUUAUGUGUCAUAUUGAGCCUUUCCAUUUACUAUUUUUUUAGCAUAAGUGACCUCUUAUAAUGUCUUCGCAUAUAAUAAACCUGCCUUUUUUUCUUCCCCUGUGAAUCUCCAUUAAGAAGGUGCAAUCCACAUACUAUCUUAGUGCCUGCUAUAAUAGUCACUAGAGCCUAUGGAAGUAUAUCUGUGCAUUUCACUAAACUGUGGUUUGAAAGAAUCCUGUCUGAAGAACACAUUUUAUGGCUCUACAACACAAAUAUCCUUUGGUUUUAAUGGAAGCUUUACUGGCCUGAAGUAAGGUGUUCUAUUAGUCUGUAGCCUAAUGCAUUUUGUUAAUGAGAAUAGAAUUUAACCUUUCUGUUAAAUCUAAAACAUAUCUCUGUCUUGAACUAUGUUAGGUAGAACUUGACAGGAAAAAAAUAAAUGUGAAUCAACAACAAAGCCCGUAUUCUUUGCAUGAAAAUGCUAUUGAUUUCCAUUCAGACUAAUCAGCUCUUUGGGGUAGGUAGGGUCAACCAUUUCAUAGCAUUUUGUUAAAACCUUUCUUUAAGGAUCAGACACAGUUUGGAAAGCAGAGAACUAAAACCCAAUGGCCCAGUUCUUCAAAUAUGAGUAUAAGCUAAACUAGUUCCAGCAAAUCAAGAUGGCUGCUUCCUGCAGUGCUGUUACUAAGGAGGAUGGGCAUGUUCAGGGCUGGCCUUGGCAUUUAGUUUGUUCUUGUAAUCCCAAGUAUGAAAAAUUAUUGAGUGUGUCUUUUUGAUUUUAUUAUGGAAAUGAGGUUGGACAGUCUUCAUCUGGCACAAAAAGAGUGGCAGGAUUCCUUGUUUCUCCUGAUCUCUGCUCAUAUAUGAAAACAGGGACACAAGGAGGUGAAAUGACAUAACUGCUCCACACUCGGAGUUCAGCAAGGAAAGUGACAGUAGGCAUCAGCCCUCCCAGCUCAUGAUACCAUGCUGAAACUUACAAAACUCUACUUCUUCAAAAGCUUGCCCUUUUGAUGAUACUGCAAAUAAUAACACAAUUGUACAGUGAUGAAUGGCAGUCCCGUGCCCUUACUGACAAGUUAGUGAAUGGACAGUACUGAAAAUAAUUUGUAAGAUGAUGAUGUUUAUGGUGAUGAUAACAUAAUAAAUCGAUAGCUG
This is a long non-coding RNA of Gallus gallus (chicken), 3175 nucleotides long. NCBI's taxonomy places the organism in Eukaryota, Metazoa, Chordata, Aves, Galliformes, Phasianidae. The record is from Ensembl.